Molecule: ribosomal RNA, 1362 nt
Filed under: Salmonella enterica subsp. diarizonae
Lineage: Bacteria; Pseudomonadati; Pseudomonadota; Gammaproteobacteria; Enterobacterales; Enterobacteriaceae
Description: partial 23S ribosomal RNA
Rfam family: Bacterial large subunit ribosomal RNA
Source: RNAcentral
GAAUGCUGACAUAAGUAACGAUAAAGCGGGUGAAAAGCCCGCUCGCCGGAAGACCAAGGGUUCCUGUCCAACGUUAAUCGGGGCAGGGUGAGUCGACCCCUAAGGCGAGGCCGAAAGGCGUAGUCGAUGGGAAACGGGUUAAUAUUCCCGUACUUGGUGUUACUGCGAAGGGGGGACGGAGAAGGCUAUGUUGGCCGGGCGACGGUAGUCCCGGUUUAAGCGUGUAGGUGUGUGUUCCAGGUAAAUCCGGUUCACUUUAACACUGAGGCGUGAUGACGAGGCACCACGGUGCUGAAGCAACAAAUGCCCUGCUUCCAGGAAAAGCCUCUAAGCAUCAGGUAACAUCAAAUCGUACCCCAAACCGACACAGGUGGUCAGGUAGAGAAUACCAAGGCGCUUGAGAGAACUCGGGUGAAGGAACUAGGCAAAAUGGUGCCGUAACUUCGGGAGAAGGCACGCUGACACGUAGGUGAAGUGAUUUACUCAUGGAGCUGAAGUCAGUCGAAGAUACCAGCUGGCUGCAACUGUUUAUUAAAAACACAGCACUGUGCAAACACGAAAGUGGACGUAUACGGUGUGACGCCUGCCCGGUGCCGGAAGGUUAAUUGAUGGGGUCAGCGCAAGCGAAGCUCCUGAUCGAAGCCCCGGUAAACGGCGGCCGUAACUAUAACGGUCCUAAGGUAGCGAAAUUCCUUGUCGGGUAAGUUCCGACCUGCACGAAUGGCGUAAUGAUGGCCAGGCUGUCUCCACCCGAGACUCAGUGAAAUUGAACUCGCUGUGAAGAUGCAGUGUACCCGCGGCAAGACGGAAAGACCCCGUGAACCUUUACUAUAGCUUGACACUGAACAUUGAGCCUUGAUGUGUAGGAUAGGUGGGAGGCUUUGAAGCGUGGACGCCAGUCUGCGUGGAGCCGACCUUGAAAUACCACCCUUUAAUGUUUGAUGUUCUAACGUGGACCCGUAAUCCGGGUUGCGGACAGUGUCUGGUGGGUAGUUUGACUGGGGCGGUCUCCUCCUAAAGAGUAACGGAGGAGCACGAAGGUUGGCUAAUCCUGGUCGGACAUCAGGAGGUUAGUGCAAUGGCAUAAGCCAGCUUGACUGCGAGCGUGACGGCGCGAGCAGGUGCGAAAGCAGGUCAUAGUGAUCCGGUGGUUCUGAAUGGAAGGGCCAUCGCUCAACGGAUAAAAGGUACUCCGGGGAUAACAGGCUGAUACCGCCCAAGAGUUCAUAUCGACGGCGGUGUUUGGCACCUCGAUGUCGGCUCAUCACAUCCUGGGGCUGAAGUAGGUCCCAAGGGUAUGGCUGUUCGCCAUUUAAAGUGGUACGCGAGCUGGGUUUAGAACGUCGUGAGACAGUUCGGUCC